UGUUGUGCGAAGGUAGCAUAAUCAUUAGUCUUUUAAUUGAAGGCUUGUAUGAAUGGUUGGACAAAAAGUAAGCUGUCUCGGUUAUAAUAAUUGAAUUUAACUUUUAAGUGAAAAGGCUUAAAUGGAUUAAGGGGACGAUAAGACCCUAUAAAGCUUGACAAUAAGUUAAUUAUAUUAUAAAUUGUUAGUAUAACUUGAUUUUAAUUGACGUUUGUUACGUUGGGGCGACGAGAAUAUAAUGAGUAACUGUUCUUAAAUGUUUAAUGACAAAUAUAAUUGGUAUUUGAUUGAUCCUUUACUAAAGAUUAAAAGAUUAAGUUACUUUAGGGAUAACAGCGUAAUCUUCUUUGAGAGUUCAUAUCGACAAGAAGGUUUGCGACCUCGAUGUUGAAUUAAGGA
RNAcentral lists this ribosomal RNA (399 nucleotides) under Penaeus semisulcatus. RNAcentral's name for it is "partial 16S ribosomal RNA". It matches the Rfam family "Bacterial large subunit ribosomal RNA", at positions 1944 to 2543 of the family's 2925-position model. Lineage: Eukaryota; Metazoa; Arthropoda; Malacostraca; Decapoda; Penaeidae. The record is from RNAcentral.